CUCACGCAUCCCAUUCGGGAGCAAGACCCUGCGGAUUGACGAUCCGCCCGUUCGGGCGGGCAAGCUCGCGGACUG
This 75-nucleotide small RNA is filed under the name Sinorhizobium meliloti 2011. RNAcentral describes it as "putative ncRNA". Lineage: Bacteria; Pseudomonadati; Pseudomonadota; Alphaproteobacteria; Hyphomicrobiales; Rhizobiaceae. The record is from RNAcentral.